AGGGGGUUUGGGGUCAGUGGUUUGGACUGGGAGUGACUGGUUUGGACUGGGAUGGACUGAGAGUGACUGGGAGCAGGUUUGGGGUCAUUCUGAGGGGUUUGGAGUCACUGGUUUGGACUGGGAGUGACUGGGAGAGGGUCUGGGGUCAUUCUGAGGGGGUUUGGAGUCACUGGUUUGGACUGGGAGUGACUGGGAGAGGGUUUGGGGUCAUUCUGAGGUGGUUUGGGAUGCACUGGUUUGCACUGGGAGUGACUGGGAACAGACUGGUUGGCACUGGGAGCGGGUUUGGGGCCGUACUGGGAGCACUGGGAGCGGGUUUGGGGCCGUACUGGGAGCACUGGGAGCGGGUUUGGGGCCGUACUGGUUUGUACUGGGGAGCGGGUUUGGGGCCGUACUGGGAGCACUGGGAGCGGGUUUGGGGUCAUUCUGAGGGGGUCUGGAAAGUUCUGAGGGGGUUUGGGGUGACUGGGAUGGACUGGAGCAGACUGGGAGUGACUGGGAGCGGGUUUGGGGUCAUUCUGAGGGGGUCUGGGCAAGUUCUGAGGGCUUUGGAGUCACUGGGAUGCACUGGUUUGGACUGGUUUGGACUGGGAGUGACUGGGAGCAGACCGGGAGUGGACUGGGAUGCACUGG
Molecule: long non-coding RNA, 633 nt
Organism: Corvus hawaiiensis (hawaiian crow)
Lineage: Eukaryota; Metazoa; Chordata; Aves; Passeriformes; Corvidae
Exons: 3
Source: RefSeq, a predicted model, not a curated record